CUAUACAUGCAGUCGAACGAGUUCUGAUUAUUGAAAGGUGCUUGCAUCUUGAUUUAAUUUUGAACGAGUGGCGGACGGGUGAGUAACACGUGGGUAACCUGCCCUUAAGUGGGGGAUAACAUUUGGAAACAGAUGCUAAUACCGCAUAAAUCCAAGAACCGCAUGGUUCUUGGCUGAAAGAUGGCGUAAGCUAUCGCUUUUGGAUGGACCCGCGGCGUAUUAGCUAGUUGGUGAGGUAACGGCUCACCAAGGCAAUGAUACGUAGCCGAACUGAGAGGUUGAUCGGCCACAUUGGGACUGAGACACGGCCCAAACUCCUACGGGAGGCAGCAGUAGGGAAUCUUCCACAAUGGACGCAAGUCUGAUGGAGCAACGCCGCGUGAGUGAAGAAGGCUUUCGGGUCGUAAAACUCUGUUGUUGGAGAAGAAUGGUCGGCAGAGUAACUGUUGUCGGCGUGACGGUAUCCAACCAGAAAGCCACGGCUAACUACGUGCCAGCAGCCGCGGUAAUACGUAGGUGGCAAGCGUUAUCCGGAUUUAUUGGGCGUAAAGCGAGCGCAGGCGGUUUUUUAAGUCUGAUGUGAAAGCCCUCGGCUUAACCGAGGAAGUGCAUCGGAAACUGGAAAACUUGAGUGCAGAAGAGGACAGUGGAACUCCAUGUGUAGCGGUGAAAUGCGUAGAUAUAUGGAAGAACACCAGUGGCGAAGGCGGCUGUCUGGUCUGUAACUGACGCUGAGGCUCGAAAGCAUGGGUAGCGAACAGGAUUAGAUACCCUGGUAGUCCAUGCCGUAAACGAUGAAUGCUAGGUGUUGGAGGGUUUCCGCCCUUCAGUGCCGCAGCUAACGCAUUAAGCAUUCCGCCUGGGGAGUACGACCGCAAGGUUGAAACUCAAAGGAAUUGACGGGGGCCCGCACAAGCGGUGGAGCAUGUGGUUUAAUUCGAAGCAACGCGAAGAACCUUACCAGGUCUUGACAUCUUUUGAUCACCUGAGAGAUCAGGUUUCCCCUUCGGGGGCAAAUGACAGGUGGUGCAUGGUUGUCGUCAGCUCGUGUCGUGAGAUGUUG
Molecule: ribosomal RNA, 1063 nt
Filed under: Lacticaseibacillus rhamnosus
Lineage: Bacteria; Bacillati; Bacillota; Bacilli; Lactobacillales; Lactobacillaceae
Description: bacterial SSU rRNA
Rfam family: Bacterial small subunit ribosomal RNA
Source: RNAcentral